RNAcentral lists this ribosomal RNA (243 nucleotides) under uncultured bacterium. RNAcentral's name for it is "partial 16S ribosomal RNA". It matches the Rfam family "Bacterial small subunit ribosomal RNA", at positions 91 to 334 of the family's 1533-position model. The record is from RNAcentral.
UUGAGUGGCGGACGGGUGAGUAACGCGUGGGUAACCUACCCUGUACAGGGGGAUAACAGUCAGAAAUGACUGCUAAUACCGCAUAAGACCACAGCACCGCAUGGUGCAGGGGUAAAAACUCCGGUGGUAUGAGAUGGACCCGCGUCUGAUUAGGUAGUUGGUGGGGUAACGGCCUACCAAGCCGACGAUCAGUAGCCGACCUGAGAGGGUGACCGGCCACAUUGGGACUGAGACACGGCCCAA